This 225-nucleotide long non-coding RNA is filed under the name Elaeis guineensis (African oil palm). RNAcentral describes it as "long non-coding RNA (EGUI_LNC038023)". Lineage: Eukaryota; Viridiplantae; Streptophyta; Magnoliopsida; Arecales; Arecaceae. The record is from RNAcentral.
CAAUCUUAAAGAAUAAAUCUAAAAGUCAAUUUUUUUUUACUAAAAAAUUAUUAGUUCUCAAUUAAAAAAAAUAGUAUUCUCUUUUUUUCUCACCUCUAACAUAUAUUUUUUAUCGUUAUGUACUAUAUAGCUAUAUGAUACAUACUAAAUGAUCGUGUCGUAGUACAUUGAAAUUAAUCCUAUUCACUACUAUGUAGAUAGGGUUAGUCGGAAUUAUAUCCACAG